This 253-nucleotide ribosomal RNA is filed under the name uncultured bacterium. Its description in RNAcentral is "partial 16S ribosomal RNA". It matches the Rfam family "Bacterial small subunit ribosomal RNA", at positions 524 to 776 of the family's 1533-position model. The record is from RNAcentral.
UACGAAGGGGGCUAGCGUUGCUCGGAAUCACUGGGCGUAAAGCGCACGUAGGCGGAUUGCUAAGUCAGGGGUGAAAUCCUGGAGCUCAACUCCAGAACUGCCUUUGAUACUGGCGAUCUUGAGUCCGGGAGAGGUGAGUGGAACUGCGAGUGUAGAGGUGAAAUUCGUAGAUAUUCGCAAGAACACCAGUGGCGAAGGCGGCUCACUGGACUGGUAUUGACGCUGAGGUACGAAAGCGUGGGGAGCAAACAGG